This 319-nucleotide ribosomal RNA is filed under the name uncultured bacterium. RNAcentral's name for it is "bacterial SSU rRNA". It matches the Rfam family "Bacterial small subunit ribosomal RNA", at positions 218 to 523 of the family's 1533-position model. The record is from RNAcentral.
CCUUUAGAUUGGCCCAAGUGGGAUUAGCUAGUUGGUGAGGUAAUGGACUCACCAAGGCGACGAUCCCUAGCUGGUUUGAGAGGAUGAGUCAGCCACACUGGGACUGAGACACGGCCCAGACUCCUACGGGAGGCAGCAGUGGGGAAGUAUUGCACAAUCGGGCGCAAGGCCUGAUGCAGCCAUGCCGCGUGUGUGAAGAAAGGCCUUCGGGUUGUAAAGCACUUUCAGUCAGGAGGAAAGCGUGGUGGUUAAUACCCAUCAUGUGUGACGUUACUGACAGAAGAAGCACCGGCUAACUCCGUGCCAGCAGCCGCGGUAA